GACGAACGCUGGCGGCGUGCUUAACACAUGCAAGUCGAACGGAAAGGCCCUGCUUUUGUGGGGUGCUCGAGUGGCGAACGGGUGAGUAACACGUGAGUAACCUGCCCUUGACUUUGGGAUAACUUCAGGAAACUGGGGCUAAUACCGGAUAGGAGCUCCUGCUGCAUGGUGGGGGUUGGAAAGUUUCGGCGGUUGGGGAUGGACUCGCGGCUUAUCAGCUUGUUGGUGGGGUAGUGGCUUACCAAGGCUUUGACGGGUAGCCGGCCUGAGAGGGUGACCGGCGACAUUGGGACUGAGAUACGCCCCAGACUCCUACGGGAGGCAGCAGUGGGGAAUAUUGCACAAUGGGCGGAAGCCUGAUGCAGCAGCGUCGCGUGCGGGAUGACGGCCUUCGGGUUAUAAACCGCUUUCGCCUGUGACGAAGCGUGAGUGACGGUAAUGGGUAAAGAAGCACCGGCUAACUGCGUG
RNAcentral lists this ribosomal RNA (468 nucleotides) under uncultured bacterium. RNAcentral's name for it is "partial 16S ribosomal RNA". It matches the Rfam family "Bacterial small subunit ribosomal RNA", at positions 28 to 507 of the family's 1533-position model. The record is from RNAcentral.